GGGGCCGUAGCUCAGUUGGGAGAGCGCUUGACUGGCAGUCAAGAGGUCAGGGGUUCGAGACCCCUCGGCUCCACCA
Molecule: transfer RNA, 76 nt
Filed under: Candidatus Hydrogenedens sp.
Lineage: Bacteria; Pseudomonadati; Candidatus Hydrogenedentota; Candidatus Hydrogenedentia; Candidatus Hydrogenedentales; Candidatus Hydrogenedentaceae
Description: tRNA-Ala
Rfam family: tRNA
About the family: Transfer RNA (tRNA) molecules are approximately 80 nucleotides in length. Their secondary structure includes four short double-helical elements and three loops (D, anti-codon, and T loops).
Source: RNAcentral